RNAcentral lists this ribosomal RNA (253 nucleotides) under uncultured bacterium. RNAcentral's name for it is "partial 16S ribosomal RNA". It matches the Rfam family "Bacterial small subunit ribosomal RNA", at positions 524 to 776 of the family's 1533-position model. The record is from RNAcentral.
UACGAAGGGGGCUAGCGUUGCUCGGAUUGACUGGGCGUAAAGGGCGCGUAGGCGGUUCGUACAGUCAGACGUGAAAUUCCUGGGCUCAACCUGGGGGCUGCGUUUGAUACGUGCGGACUUGAGUGCGGAAGAGGGUCGUGGAAUUCCCAGUGUAGAGGUGAAAUUCGUAGAUAUUGGAAGGAACACCGGUGGCGAAGGCGGCUCUCUGGACGAUUAUUGACGCUGAGGCGCGAAAGCGUGGGGAUCAAACAGG